GACGAACGCUGGCGGCGUGCUUAACACGUGCAAGUCGAACGGAAAGGCCCUGCUUUUGUGGGGUGCUCGAGUGGCGAACGGGUGAGUAACACGUGAGUAACCUGCCCUUGACUUUGGGAUAACUUCAGGAAACUGGGGCUAAUACCGGAUAGGAGCUCCUGCUGCAUGGUGGGGGUUGGAAAGUUUCGGCGGUGGGGGAUGGACUCGCGGCUUAUCAGCUUGUUGGUGGGGUAGUGGCUUACCAAGGCUUUGACGGGUAGCCGGCCUGAGAGGGUGACCGGCCACAUUGGGACUGAGAUACGGCCCAGACUCCUACGGGAGGCAGCAGUGGGGAAUAUUGCACAAUGGGCGGAAGCCUGAUGCAGCAACGCCGCGUGCGGGAUGACGGCCUUCGGGUUGUAAACCGCUUUCGCCUGUGACGAAGCGUGAGUGACGGUAAUGGGUAAAGAAGCACCGGCUAACUACGUG
This 468-nucleotide ribosomal RNA is filed under the name uncultured bacterium. RNAcentral's name for it is "partial 16S ribosomal RNA". It matches the Rfam family "Bacterial small subunit ribosomal RNA", at positions 28 to 507 of the family's 1533-position model. The record is from RNAcentral.